This is a long non-coding RNA of Pimephales promelas (fathead minnow), 596 nucleotides long. RefSeq lists it as uncharacterized. NCBI's taxonomy places the organism in Eukaryota, Metazoa, Chordata, Actinopteri, Cypriniformes, Leuciscidae. The record is from RefSeq and is a predicted model, not a curated record.
ACAGCAGCAUUAACGUUCUCCUCUUAUGAAUACAAAAGCGUUUAAUAAUGUGCACUGGUGGAACAUCUACUGUAGGAACAUGUGGCUGUGCCGUUGACUCGACCUGUCGAUGCCGUAGACGUAGACGACGGCGAUGAUCUCGCAGAAGGCGAUCACCAGCAGGGGGAUGGAGCCAGCGAAGCCGUCGAACAGGGCCAGCCAGUAGUUCCCCGAGGACUGGACGAACACCAGCGCCGUCACGAACGACACUGCACACGUCAGCCCUGCACACACGACAUGAUGAGCGACACUGCAGUGUUCAGAUGGCCUUAUGGGUCAUUAGACCUCCUUUUCCAUUAGCCUUCAAACUGCGCAAGUGAGGUGGUGGCAAGUGAGGUCGAGGGGUUACCGGUGAACACUUCUUUGGGCCACUUCUUAGGGAGGAUGUUGAGGUCCUGGAGCGGCACCACGACACCCUCGAUGUUCCCGAACAUGGUGGACAGUCCCAGACAGAAGAGCAUGAUGAAGAACAGCACGGACCAGAUCGGAGAGACGGGCAUCUUGGUGAUGGCCUCGGUGAACACGAUGAAGGCCAAGCCGGUUCCCUCGACGCCCUG